GUGCUCAUGUCCUAUCAGCUGGUUGGUGGGGUAACGGCCUACCAAGGCGACGACGGGUAGCCGGCCUGAGAGGGUGAACGGCCACACUGGAACUGAGAUACGGUCCAGACUCCUACGGGAGGCAGCAGUGGGGAAUAUUGGGCAAUGGGGGCAACCCUGACCCAGCGACGCCGCGUGGGGGAAGACGGCCUUCGGGUUGUAAACCUCUUUUGUACGGGAAGUGACGGUACUGUACGAAUAAGUCCCGGCUAACUACGUGCCAGCAGCCGCGGUAAUACGUAGGGGACGAGCGUUGUCCGGAAUUACUGGGCGUAAAGGGCGCGCAGGCUGUGCUGCAAGUCAGCUGUUAAAUGUCUGGGCUUAACCCGGGCAUGCGGUUGACUGCGGUGCUGGAGUGCUGUAGAGGCAAGUGGAAUUCCCAGUGUAGCGGUGAAAUGCGUAGAU
RNAcentral lists this ribosomal RNA (444 nucleotides) under uncultured bacterium. Its description in RNAcentral is "bacterial SSU rRNA". It matches the Rfam family "Bacterial small subunit ribosomal RNA", at positions 227 to 695 of the family's 1533-position model. The record is from RNAcentral.